UCAAACUUGGUCAUUUAGAGGAAGUAAAAGUCGUAACAAGGUUUCCGUAGGUGAACCUGCGGAAGGAUCAUUACAAAAAUCAGAAGUGCUCCGGCGCUUUGGCAGCGAGGGGGGCAACCCCCGAACUGUUUAACCCUUUGUGAAAACCCUCUGUUGCCUCGGUGGCACCGGCGGCGCCCCUCCAGGCGCCGCGGGGUCAGCCCACCGGCGGCACCCAACCAAAACCCAUAACCAUUUUGAAGAAGCUGUCUGAAACCUAAAGUCGAAUGACUAUAAAACUUUCAACAACGGAUCUCUUGGUUCCCGCAUCGAUGAAGAACGCAGC
RNAcentral lists this unclassified non-coding RNA (325 nucleotides) under uncultured fungus. RNAcentral describes it as "partial contains small subunit ribosomal RNA, internal transcribed spacer 1, and 5.8S ribosomal RNA". The stretch from base 1 to 73 matches the Rfam family "Eukaryotic small subunit ribosomal RNA", at positions 1759 to 1831 of the family's 1831-position model. The record is from RNAcentral. Lineage: Eukaryota; Fungi.